GACGAACGCUGGCGGUGUGCUUAACACAUGCAAGUCGAACGGUAAGGCCCUUUCGGGGGUACACGAGUGGCGAACGGGUGAGUAACACGUGAGUAACCUGCCCUCAUCUCUGGGAUAACAGUCGGAAACGGUUGCUAAUACUGGAUAUGAGCUUGCAAGGCAUCUUGUGGGUUGGAAAGAUUUUUUUGGUUGGGGAUGGACUCGCGGCCUAUCAGCUUGUUGGUGAGGUAGUGGCUCACCAAGGCUUCGACGGGUAGCCGGCCUGAGAGGGUGACCGGCCACAUUGGGACUGAGAUACGGCCCAAACUCCUACGGGAGGCAGCAGUGGGGAAUAUUGCACAAUGGACGGAAGUCUGAUGCAGCAACGCCGCGUGCGGGAUGACGGCCUUCGGGUUGUAAACCGCUUUCAAUUGUGACGAAGCUUUUUGUGACGGUAGCAGUAGAAGAAGCACCGGCUAACUACGUG
This 466-nucleotide ribosomal RNA is filed under the name uncultured bacterium. Its description in RNAcentral is "partial 16S ribosomal RNA". It matches the Rfam family "Bacterial small subunit ribosomal RNA", at positions 28 to 507 of the family's 1533-position model. The record is from RNAcentral.